RNAcentral lists this ribosomal RNA (1550 nucleotides) under Staphylococcus aureus. Its description in RNAcentral is "partial 23S ribosomal RNA". It matches the Rfam family "Bacterial large subunit ribosomal RNA", at positions 1269 to 2815 of the family's 2925-position model. Lineage: Bacteria; Bacillati; Bacillota; Bacilli; Caryophanales; Staphylococcaceae. The record is from RNAcentral.
ACAUGUGGAGCGCUUAGAAGUGAGAAUGCCGGUGUGAGUAGCGAAAGACGGGUGAGAAUCCCGUCCACCGAUUGACUAAGGUUUCCAGAGGAAGGCUCGUCCGCUCUGGGUUAGUCGGGUCCUAAGCUGAGGCCGACAGGCGUAGGCGAUGGAUAACAGGUUGAUAUUCCUGUACCACCUAUAAUCGUUUUAAUCGAUGGGGGGACGCAGUAGGAUAGGCGAAGCGUGCGAUUGGAUUGCACGUCUAAGCAGUAAGGCUGAGUAUUAGGCAAAUCCGGUACUCGUUAAGGCUGAGCUGUGAUGGGGAGAAGACAUUGUGUCUUCGAGUCGUUGAUUUCACACUGCCGAGAAAAGCCUCUAGAUAGAAAAUAGGCGCCCGUACCGCAAACCGACACAGGUAGUCAAGAUGAGAAUUCUAAGGUGAGCGAGCGAACUCUCGUUAAGGAACUCGGCAAAAUGACCCCGUAACUUCGGGAGAAGGGGUGCUCUUUAGGGUUAACGCCCAGAAGAGCCGCAGUGAAUAGGCCCAAGCGACUGUUUAUCAAAAACACAGGUCUCUGCUAAACCGUAAGGUGAUGUAUAGGGGCUGACGCCUGCCCGGUGCUGGAAGGUUAAGAGGAGUGGUUAGCUUCUGCGAAGCUACGAAUCGAAGCCCCAGUAAACGGCGGCCGUAACUAUAACGGUCCUAAGGUAGCGAAAUUCCUUGUCGGGUAAGUUCCGACCCGCACGAAAGGCGUAACGAUUUGGGCACUGUCUCAACGAGAGACUCGGUGAAAUCAUAGUACCUGUGAAGAUGCAGGUUACCCGCGACAGGACGGAAAGACCCCGUGGAGCUUUACUGUAGCCUGAUAUUGAAAUUCGGCACAGCUUGUACAGGAUAGGUAGGAGCCUUUGAAACGUGAGCGCUAGCUUACGUGGAGGCGCUGGUGGGAUACUACCCUAGCUGUGUUGGCUUUCUAACCCGCACCACUUAUCGUGGUGGGAGACAGUGUCAGGCGGGCAGUUUGACUGGGGCGGUCGCCUCCUAAAAGGUAACGGAGGCGCUCAAAGGUUCCCUCAGAAUGGUUGGAAAUCAUUCAUAGAGUGUAAAGGCAUAAGGGAGCUUGACUGCGAGACCUACAAGUCGAGCAGGGUCGAAAGACGGACUUAGUGAUCCGGUGGUUCCGCAUGGAAGGGCCAUCGCUCAACGGAUAAAAGCUACCCCGGGGAUAACAGGCUUAUCUCCCCCAAGAGUUCACAUCGACGGGGAGGUUUGGCACCUCGAUGUCGGCUCAUCGCAUCCUGGGGCUGUAGUCGGUCCCAAGGGUUGGGCUGUUCGCCCAUUAAAGCGGUACGCGAGCUGGGUUCAGAACGUCGUGAGACAGUUCGGUCCCUAUCCGUCGUGGGCGUAGGAAAUUUGAGAGGAGCUGUCCUUAGUACGAGAGGACCGGGAUGGACAUACCUCUGGUGUACCAGUUGUCGUGCCAACGGCAUAGCUGGGUAGCUAUGUGUGGACGGGAUAAGUGCUGAAAGCAUCUAAGCAUGAAGCCCCCCUCAAGAUGAGAUUUCCC